GCUUGGACGGUCUAUGCGUAUUUGUAGCCUGCGGAGGAUCAUUA
Molecule: ribosomal RNA, 44 nt
Filed under: uncultured Dermocybe
Lineage: Eukaryota; Fungi; Basidiomycota; Agaricomycetes; Agaricales; Cortinariaceae
Description: partial 18S ribosomal RNA
Source: RNAcentral